AGUGAACGCUGGCGGUAGGCCUAACACAUGCCAGUCGAACGGCCGCACAAUAAGCGCUUUCUCUUACUGUUGGCGACUGGCGGACGGGUGAGGCAUACAUCAGCAUCUUCUUUUUCUUGGGUGAUUACGUAGGGCCACUUACGCUACUACCGCAUACGUCCUACGGGUUAAAUCAGAAGAUCUUCGCACCUUGCGCGUCUCUUUUAGCCGGUGGCGGAUUGGCUAGUUGGCGUGGUAAAGGCCCAACAAAGCGACGCUCCGUUGCUGGUCUGAGGUGAUGAUCAGCCAAACUGGAACUGAGACACGGUCCAGAAUCCUAAGGGAGGCAGCAGGGGGGAAUAUUGGACAAUGGGCGGAAGCCUGAACCAGCCAUACCGCGUGGGUGAAGAAGGCCUUCGGGUUGUAAAGCCCUUUUGUUGAGAAAGAAAAGCAGCAGGUUAAUACCCCGCUGUUCUGACGGUAACCAAAGAAUAAGCACAGGCUAACUUAGUG
This 492-nucleotide ribosomal RNA is filed under the name uncultured bacterium. RNAcentral describes it as "partial 16S ribosomal RNA". It matches the Rfam family "Bacterial small subunit ribosomal RNA", at positions 29 to 507 of the family's 1533-position model. The record is from RNAcentral.